CCCUUAGAUGUUCUGGGCUGCACGCGCGCUACACUGAUGCACUCAACGAGUUUACGACCUUGCCCGAUAGGGUUGGGUAAUCUUUUUAAAAUGCAUCGUGAUGGGGAUAGAUUAUUGCAAUUAUUAAUCUUCAACGAGGAAUUCCUAGUAAGCGCGAGUCAUCAGCUCGUGCUGAUUACGUCCCUGCCCUUUGUACACACCGCCCGUCGCUCCUACCGAUUGAGUGCUCAGGUGAAUAAUUCGGACUGCAGCAAUGUUUGGAUCCCGAACGUUGCAGCGGAAAGUUUAGUGAACCUUGUCACUUAGAGGAAGGAGAAGUCGUAACA
This 326-nucleotide ribosomal RNA is filed under the name uncultured eukaryote. RNAcentral describes it as "partial 18S ribosomal RNA". It matches the Rfam family "Eukaryotic small subunit ribosomal RNA", at positions 1470 to 1796 of the family's 1831-position model. The record is from RNAcentral.